Long non-coding RNA from Canis lupus familiaris (dog), 4266 nucleotides. RefSeq lists it as uncharacterized. The transcript has 5 exons. NCBI's taxonomy places the organism in Eukaryota, Metazoa, Chordata, Mammalia, Carnivora, Canidae. The record is from RefSeq and is a predicted model, not a curated record.
GGGAACCUUUGUCCUGCCGAGUCACCUCCCUACAGAGGUACACCCUCAGAGUGCCUGGCCCUAUACCCAAGCGAGGAUGCAGCCUGGCCCAAGACAGAUACACUUGGACAGGUCCUCUGGGAAGAGGCACCCAAAGGCCAGUCGACAGGGAGCCCAGCAGGUCCUGGGCAACAGGAAAGAUUUCCUACCAGAAGCACUAUUGAGCUGAAGGUUCAUAAAAGAUUUCUUGGAGCCGUGCACUCCAAGCCUGGAGGGCCACAUGCAGUUCCGGUUUUCUUGAACUAAAAUCUUGAAUUCAGGGAUUUUAUGGGUUAGAACAAAAUUCAAGUGCAGAGUUACAGAGUGUGGCCUUAAGGGGACGCCUUGUUGUGGGGAACAAACACGCACAAUCUAAGAGAUUUAGGAUGGGGCCCCACACCUGCCAGGUGCCAGACCUUCCCAAUUCUACAUCUCAGAUUUCCUCAUUUGUGAAAUGGGAAUGGAUGUCCACCAUGCUGGCAGCUCAGGUGAGGCAACUCAUGGAAACGCAUGGCAGAGUACCCCUUCCACAGACACCCUGUUCCCCCAACAACUCAACACGUCCACUCCAGGAGGCUUUGUGGCCAGGCAGGGAGGAUCCUGCCUCGCCCAGGGGCCCGGGCUUCUCAGAGGUAAUUAACACAAUUGUCUGCAAUUGUCCAAGAAGGUACAGAGGUGAGUCAGAGGAGCCUGGGUUUUGGAGUCCGGUCUUGACUCUUCUUCUGUGGGUACCCCAACUUUCAUGGUCCUCAGUCUCCUUGUCCACAAAUUGGAAGUAAUAACACCAGUGUGCUGUGAGGACGCAGUGAGAUGGCACACAGCACAGCUGACAUCUGCCAGGUGCCAGACCAUUGGCACCCAGGCUGUCCCUCACGCCCUGUGAUUCCUUGGUAAGUCCUUACACUAUAAGAAGGCUGGUGGCUAGGGUAACCCCAGCCCUGACCAUCCCUUCUGCCCGUGAGUCUGCCUUCCUUCAGUGGAGGGCCAGGGCAGCUUCUUCCCCUCUUCCUCCCCAGCCUACCAGCCAGCCCUGCAGGCUGACAGAACAAGUUUCUGGGCUGGGGUUCCUGGUUUCCAGGCUCCUGAAAGGAAUCUCUGGCUCUCUACUUCCCAGGCUUUUCCCACCUGAUUUCCAGAUCAGACCCUCAGUGCUUCUGCAGAUCUGUACCUUCCAACCCACCUUCCGUCCAGUCGCCCCCCUCCUGAGAAGUGACUCCGUCCUCCCAUCCUCCCAGCUGGCAGAACACAGGCCUGGGCCCAUCUGGCAGGCAGAGAAGCCCGUGGUGCUCCCUUACCUUCUCAGGACGGGGUCUCGUUGACUCCCUUCCCUUCCACUCUAGGCACUCUGAAAGAGCAGGGAAAGAAGGCAGUGCUGGGGCUCUGGGCGUGUCAGAGAGUAAGGGAGAGGAGGAAGAGGCAGAAGGGCCCCAAGAGGAAAUGGCCCAGCAGUCUGGGCCCACAUAAUUUAUUGCAGGACUUUGUCCUUGGGCGCUCUAGCACUCUCCACUCCCACAUGGCGGCUGCAGCCCCAGCCAGCAGAGCCUCACAGCAGCCUGAUCUUUAACCCUGGCCUCUUCAGCAGAGAGUCCCCACGGGCCAUCAGAGUCUGCUCUCCAUGCACCUGUUGCUGGCCAUUAGCUGAUCAUCCAGGGAGUUCAGCAUAUCCCCAGGCGUCAUGGAGACUCCAAGGAAGCCCACAAAAAAAAAACUCUGAUCCCAAAUACCCCAAGUCCUAAUUGGGACACACACACACAGGAGAUGCUAGGAAGCCUAUAACAGAGCUAAAGGCCAUUGGGACAACUAGAUCUUCAGUGUCCCUGGAAGCAGAAGCAGCUGGUUUGGGCUGGGACUCAUAUGAAGGGGAGUUUCUGCAAUAAGACAAAUACAGACCCUUCAGGUGGUGCAUUGUGGGAGAGGCCCCUGCUGGAAGGAGCAGGCAGUCCCUGAAAGUAUGAGGGUGAGGGCUCUGAAGGCAGGUGGAAAGUAAAUGCACAGGAUGUAACUGCUCAGCUGCAGCCCUUUCCUUGGGUGAAGAGAGACCUCGCUCAGUGAUACUCUUGGUUGGCCCAACCAGAGCCAGUUAGGUCUCUUCCCAGACCCAGGGCUUGGGAGGCAUUUGGGAACUGUAGGCCAAGGUGUAGGGAGCAGCUGUCAUUUUCAAGAUAGAAUCAAGGCUCCAGCAGGGCAGCAACCCUGACCUAGGCCUCUUUUGGAAAUAGGAACUAGGGACGCCUGAGUGGCUCAGUGGUUGAGCAUCUGCUUUGGCUCAGGGCGUCAUCCUGGAGUCCAGGGGUCGAAUCCCACAUCAGGCUCCCUGCAUGGAGCCUGCUUCUCCUGUCCCUGCCUCUUUGUGUCUCUCAUGAAUAAAUAAAUAAAAUCUUAAAAAAAAAAAAAAAGGAAGAAACAGGAACUAAGCGCCGGGGGUAGAGAGAAGGGUACAGUAGACAGGCUGUAGAGCUGGAGAUGACACUUCCAGUUGGAGGCAGAGGCCACCCCUGCCCAAUAGUGGCCUCUGCUUCCUGUGGGGGGGUUCCUCACAGUCCCAGCUUCCUUGUGAUGAACACUCCUGAUGUUUCAGUGUGAAGGAGUUUCUUCCUUUCAAUCACACAGCCAGUGCCAGGGGUAGGGAAUGAGGGGGGAUAACAAACUUUUGGAGGAAGCAUGUGCCCUGGGACUUUCAGCCAGCACCCAACAUGCUCCCUGUGAGUGCUGUACCCAAGUCCUACCUAGGCACCAGCUGGCCUCUUGCUCCCUAAACUCUCAGCCAGUUUCUGGGCCAACACUUGUUCUGGGGGGAGAGGGGAAGAAGGCUUCAUUCACAUGGCUUGUCGCUUCUCUGGUUUGGAAAGAUACCAUUUCACUCUCAGAGGAUUGGUGUGGCUGCCUUGGGCAGCUCCCAGAGAUGGUGAGCCCCUUGCUCUGGGGCCCCUGGCAUGGGGCUGGGUCCUCUAUGGCCCUCUUCCUCUGCCCUAGUGCAAAAAGAGAUAGCAGAACAGAAUAUGUGGGCAGAAGAAAGCAGUUUAUAAGGUAUGUCUAGCCAGGGCCUGUUUUAAACACAAUUUGACAGAAGUACAUUUUGGAUACCUACAAACAAACUUGUUUCCCACUUUGUCUUUUACAUUGGACAUUUAUAUUGUAAGCAUUUUCUUACUUACACUGUACCAAACUCUAACCACCAGUCUUUAAAUACAGCAUUAUAGUCUCUCCUACAAAUGCCCCGUUAUUUGUGUAGUCAUCCUCCCUGGAUGGACAUCAAGAGGCACCCAAUCCUUUGCUAUUAUCCACAACACUGCAAUGAACAAGUUUGUGCUCAUAGCUCUGUUUGCAUUAUGACACCACAGGAAGGUUCCAGAAGGGAACUUAUCAAAGCAAGGGAAUGAGUGUUUUGUUGCUAACCUUUCUCAAGUGGCAUGUCAAGUCUUCCCUGCUAGCAAAGGGUGUAUGUGUUACUGCCAGGACCUUGGCAGGGUUCACAGGCAGACACCCUGAGGGACACUUUUCCUGGAGCCUCAGGUAUUUAUUCCAUUGCUGAGGAAUUUCAAGGAUUCCAGGCCCCGGAAAUUAGGAAGAGGAGCUGAGGGUGAUCAAGCUCAUAGGUCCAGGUGCAGCUGAGGCUGAAAGAGGAGAAGAACAUCAAAGGCCAGAAGGAGAUGUUCUCUUGGAAGAGGUGACUCUGCCCUGGCCUCCUUGAAUGGCAGGCAGAUAUGCCUAGAAGACAUGGAGGGUGCAGAGAAGAGGCUAUCAAACUGGACCCCAGGGGACCUGCCACGGAAAUGACUAUCCUCAGGCAAGUGGAGCGGUCAUGUCAAUCCCAUCUGUUCUGGUAUCUGAAGCCUGCAAAAUGCACUAAAUGCAGAGGAGCUGUCACACACACCUACUGCCUGAGGGAGCUACAGUCCAGCUGGAAACAAAUUGUGCAGCUUUACAUUUCCUGUUAAACCUAGACCCAAGAAUAUCAACUAUCCUCAAACAGAGUUUGGAGCCAAAAGGAAGGCCAGGAUUUCAAGGUGGAUAUUCAUUUCUCAGCACCAUUUACUAAAGAGACUGUUCUUUUCUCAUUGAGUGGCCUUGGCACCUUCGUCAAAAAUCUGUUAACCAUAGAUGUGAAGGUUUAUUUCUGGACUCUCAAUUCUAUUCUGUUGGUCUGUAUGUCUAUCCUUAGGCUGCUGCUACACUGUUUUGAUUAAUGUCUUGUAGUAAAUUAAUGUUCUGUAGUAAAUUUUGAAUUAAGAGGAGUGAGUCCUCCAA